RNAcentral lists this ribosomal RNA (253 nucleotides) under uncultured bacterium. Its description in RNAcentral is "partial 16S ribosomal RNA". It matches the Rfam family "Bacterial small subunit ribosomal RNA", at positions 524 to 776 of the family's 1533-position model. The record is from RNAcentral.
UACGGAGGGUGCGAGCGUUGUCCGGAAUCACUGGGCGUAAAGGGCGCGUAGGCGGCCUGAUAAGUAGGGGGUGAAAUCCUGCGGCUUAACCGCAGGGCUGCCUUCUAAACUUUCUGGCUAGAGUCCGGAAGGGGCGAGUGGAAUUCCUGGUGUAGCGGUGAAAUGCGCAGAUAUCAGGAGGAACACCUAUGGCGAAGGCAGCUCGCUGGGACGGUACUGACGCUGAGGCGCGAAAGCGUGGGGAGCAAACAGG